RNAcentral lists this ribosomal RNA (253 nucleotides) under uncultured bacterium. RNAcentral describes it as "partial 16S ribosomal RNA". It matches the Rfam family "Bacterial small subunit ribosomal RNA", at positions 524 to 776 of the family's 1533-position model. The record is from RNAcentral.
UACGGAGGAUGCAAGCGUUAUCCGGAAUUAUUGGGCGUAAAGCGUCCGUAGGUGGUGGUGCAAGUCAGCUGUUAAAGCGUGGAGCUUAACUCCGAAUCGGCGGUGGAAACUGAACAGCUAGAGUGCAGUAGGGGUAGAGGGAAUUCCCAGUGUAGCGGUGAAAUGCGUAGAGAUUGGGAAGAACACCGGUGGCGAAAGCGCUCUACUGGACUGCAACUGACACUCAGGGACGAAAGCUAGGGGAGCGAAUGGG